Molecule: ribosomal RNA, 324 nt
Filed under: uncultured eukaryote
Lineage: Eukaryota
Description: partial 18S ribosomal RNA
Rfam family: Eukaryotic small subunit ribosomal RNA
Source: RNAcentral
CCCUUAGAUGUCCUGGGCCGCACGCGCGCUACACUGACGGAGCCAGCGAGCUUACCCCUUUGCCGAAAGGCAUGGGAAAUCUUUUGAAUCUCCGUCGUGCUGGGGAUAGAUCAUUGCAAUUAUUGAUCUUGAACGAGGAAUUCCUAGUAAGCGCAAGUCAUCAACUUGCGUUGAUUACGUCCCUGCCCUUUGUACACACCGCCCGUCGCUCCUACCGAUUGAAUGCUCAGGUGAGCCAUUCGGACUUUCAUCAUGCUGGUUUCCAGUUUUGAUGAAGGAAAGUCUUGCGAACCUUAUCAUUUAGAGGAAGGAGAAGUCGUAACA